Molecule: long non-coding RNA, 743 nt
Filed under: Fukomys damarensis (Damara mole-rat)
Lineage: Eukaryota; Metazoa; Chordata; Mammalia; Rodentia; Bathyergidae
Description: lncRNA (ENSFDAG00000026443.1)
Source: RNAcentral
CUAAGACAAACAGGUGCCAGGCGGCGAUGACGUCAGUGGCCCCUGAGUCCUGGCAGGUGAGGCUCUGCUGCACUGUGGUUGGAGUGGUGCGAGAGCAUCCUGGGCCCCUGGAUGCCGAUGAGCAGUGCCCUGUUUGGGAUUGUGACCGGGAUGGCUAAAAAGGCCACUAUUAUCACGUCCUUCGAGUACGACUCCAAGUGGGGUUCUGUGAACGGCGCUGUCUCCAGAGCCAGGGGACCCAGGGUAGCUUUGGGCAUCCGUGGCCCUGAAGUUCUCCCUGGUGGAAAUUUAUUUGGACUAGUAAUUAUUUUUUGUUGUACCCGUCUUGGAGGGACACUUCUGCAACUCAUUAGAACACCUACAGUGCCCCCACCUCCACCUCAUCUUGGGAUAUAACUGGCUGGUUUUAUCAUCAGGAAUAUUCCACCCAUCAGAAAACAGAUCAGAGUCCCUAGCUAGUGGUCUUCAACUCUAAGAACCACUGUCCUUACCAUCAUCCUAAUACAAGCAAAACAUGGACUUGAUCCCGAGGCUCUGCGGCCAAUGAAGACCAUCUGCUUCCUGCUGUCCUUUGGUCGGUGCAUCAGAGAGAUGUGCACUACUGCUGUUGUUUCCCACUUCAUUAUGGAUUUCCCUUGACAGUGGGGAUUUCUAUUAGAUUUUGUGUUAGGUGCCAUCUCUCCUGCGGUCCUGGUCCUGUCCAUGCUGCACUUGCAGGAGGCAGGGCAUGGCAUAGAGAAGGG